AGGAGAGUAGCUCAACGGUAGAGUCGCGGUCUCCAAAACCGUCGGUUGCAUGUUCGAAUCGUGUCUCUCCUGCCA
This 75-nucleotide transfer RNA is filed under the name Clostridia bacterium. RNAcentral's name for it is "tRNA-Trp". It matches the Rfam family "tRNA". Rfam says of the family: Transfer RNA (tRNA) molecules are approximately 80 nucleotides in length. Lineage: Bacteria; Bacillati; Bacillota; Clostridia. The record is from RNAcentral.